This is a long non-coding RNA of Columba livia (rock pigeon), 2466 nucleotides long. RefSeq lists it as uncharacterized. The transcript has 3 exons. NCBI's taxonomy places the organism in Eukaryota, Metazoa, Chordata, Aves, Columbiformes, Columbidae. The record is from RefSeq and is a predicted model, not a curated record.
CUAUAAAAGGCUUUGUGGUCUGCUGAAUCUUUUUGCAGAUGGUUCAGGAGAUGGAUGAUGUCGUGUUAUAGAUGACUAUUAUUACUUAGGUGAGCUCUUGUUCAAAUCAGGACAAUAACCAUAUAGUUUAUCCAGCAAUGUGAGGCUGGAGGAAGUAAGUUUUGCAGGCAACACUGUGGGGAACACCGACAGAACUGCGGUUUGCAAGACAGCACCGAAGGCCACCAUGACUCACACAAGUCUCCAAGGGCUGCCAAGCCUUCUCUGCCCAUGGAACUUUGUUCCCAUAUUGUUGCAGGAGCAGCCCUGGAGGUGGGUAAGAGCUGCGUCUCUUUCUUUAUGGGCUUCAAGAUCAGUGGUGCUCACAGACAAGCAUUUCACCUCUCAUGCAUGGGGAAAGGAUGAGACAUUGCCAUGUGGCUAGCAUGUAAUAUGUAAAAAUGAACAACUUCGGCAAUUUCAGCAACCCGUUUCAUAUUUUGAGGCAAUAGUCCCUUUGCAGAAAAGACUUUGUCAUACAGAUCUUAUGAAUAAAGAUUCAUUCCUACCUCUGAAAUGCUGUGCAAUGAUUGGUUUUGGUAUGCCUGUUUAGAUAAUCUUGAAGAGGUAAUUGACAGUAGGCAAAUUUUGUGGUUACUUCCAGCACAAAGCAAUGGCUCUGACAAUGGCAAAAGGGCUGUAUCACUGAUAGUUCUUAAAAUGAGUGGGAAGAAGAAAAUCAGCAUUCUCUUGCAGAAAUGAGUCUUUGGCCAAGAUUUUGUUACUGAAUAAGUGACUGAUGUUGCACAUCAUUUGUUGAUUUUCACCAGUGUAUGUUUUUCUGAGAGUCACAGUAGCACUGGAAGUACCAAGAUAAGAAACAAAAAGUCUGUAAACCUGGGUAACGUUUAAUAGAUCAACUGAUAGAGAUGGAAAAAAGUAAAUUUAAAAAAGUUACACUUGCAAAGAAGCAGCACAGUUUGAACUAAGUACAGUGUGUGGCUAGUUGAUCUGAACUCCUCUUACUGUGAAAUCCAGCCCAUAACUUCAAUAUAAAUUCUCUAGUUCCUCUCAUCAUGAGUGAAGGAAAACAAGACAUAUGGCCCCAAUGAUGCCCUGCAUGGGAUUACUGGAGAACAAGCAAAAUAGGAAUUUGAGUUUGUUUUGUGCUCUUUGAAUUGCAAGUUUUAAAACAAUUUAUCCUACAAUGACAUCUGCUGGCUGUUUGACAGGAAGCUCUUGCAGAAGGAUCCUGCCGGGAGUUGCCUGAGGGUGAAUCUUCCCAUGGCAAUAAUUUGCUGGGGUUCUACUUCUGGGGGGAACUGCAAAUGUAUUAACAAGAUUGAGCACUUUCGCAGUUUAUAAACGUCACACAGUCCCUCACUGUGGCUGAUUGUCUUGUUGGGAAUGAUUUGAUAGGCAAGUAUCCAGCAGAGAAGUCACUGCUGCAUCUGGAAGAUGUGCUGCUUCAUUCUGAGAGUAGCUACUGUUUGGCCCAAGAAUAUGCUGUGACUUGUCAGAGAUCAGAGCAGCUGCAUACCCGUUCUGGCAGCAGAAGUUACAAACACGCUCCAGAGUCAGCGCAUGUCUCUGUUCCAGCCACUGAGCAUCACUGUAGUGGGGUGCUGGGUGCUCUGCAGAGAGUGAUCCCUGGGCUUGUCAGCCAUGUACCAGUGGCAGAGGGGACUAUGCAGAGAUGGAUUCCCUCCCCUAGCCCAAAAAGACAAGGUACAAAUAACCCUCAGCUGUCUCUUUCCUGGAGCUGAACACUGUUGCACUGGCUGGAGAAACUGCAACCCUGCUGCUGGCUGCAGCAAGGUGCCCACUCACGUGUUGGCAAUGUCUGGCUUUUGGCUAACCCAAGAUGGUCUGCAGGGCACACCUGGCUGCCUCCCCUUGCCUCCUGGGUGCCGCUCAGAUCCUCAUGACCAGAGCGUGACCUGUGGUCUUUGGAUGCUUGUGCAAGUCCUUGUGACCAUCGAGGUGGACGCUUCAGAACCUGUGGCUAUCACAGGUGAUCUCCUGGCCACCAGGUGGAACCUACGUUAUGCCUGUCUUCUCAAAAUCCCACUGCCAGCCGCUCCUUUCAGAAACUUGCAUGCAACUGAGCACUUCUGUGGGUUUUUACCCUGCUGGGGUUGUUUGUGCUGGACAGGCUAUGUGGGACAAUCACUGUCCUGUUCAGCAAGACAUCAGGCCAAUAGCACCAGGGGGAACUGGCCAAGCGAAAGCAUUUGCAGACAGCAGCAAGACACGGCGUUUUAAAAUUGGUUUCUCAAAACAGACAUUUGGAGAGGAAACUGUAAGCACACAACUGCAGUGUGGAUGAAGUAACGUGAAUUAUUUUCACAGCCUUUGGUCCAUAUUAAAAUAAUGUGGGCAAAGUAACAAUUAAGCCCUGGCAGCUAUCAGUGCCAAAUAUAGCAUUGCCUUUUAGGGAAGAUAGCAGAGAACUGUUGUGUUUGAUCUCUGAAGGUCUCAGUUAUA